GCUCAGGUGGAGGAAUUAGGCAGACUCGCUACACUUAGGAUGUAGUUCUUUAUGAAUUGUGGGUUCGAGUCCCACCCUGAGUA
This 83-nucleotide transfer RNA is filed under the name Caudoviricetes sp. Its description in RNAcentral is "tRNA-Leu". It matches the Rfam family "tRNA". From Rfam's summary of the family: Transfer RNA (tRNA) molecules are approximately 80 nucleotides in length. Their secondary structure includes four short double-helical elements and three loops (D, anti-codon, and T loops). The record is from RNAcentral. Lineage: Duplodnaviria; Heunggongvirae; Uroviricota; Caudoviricetes.